UACGUAGGGGGCAAGCGUUGUCCGGAUUUAUUGGGCGUAAAGAGCGUGUAGGCGGCCUGAAAGGUCAGCUGUGAAAACUCGAGGCUCAACCUCGAGACGUCGGUUGAAACCAUCUGGCUAGAGUCCGGAAGAGGAGUGUGGAAUUCCCGGUGUAGCGGUGAAAUGCGCAGAUAUCGGGAAGAACACCCGUGGCGAAGGCGGCACUCUGGGCAGUGGCUGACGCUGAGGCGCGACAGCGUGGGGAGCAAACAGG
This 253-nucleotide ribosomal RNA is filed under the name uncultured bacterium. RNAcentral describes it as "partial 16S ribosomal RNA". It matches the Rfam family "Bacterial small subunit ribosomal RNA", at positions 524 to 776 of the family's 1533-position model. The record is from RNAcentral.